GCGCGGCGGGCACCGCCACCUCCGCGCUGUGCCUGCUGCUCUCGCUCACCGCCGUGGCCGUGUGCCUGCUGCUGGGCGCCAAGACGGCGGAGCUGCAGGGCCGGCUGGCCGCGCUGGAGGAGCGGGGCGCCGCCGGCCACGGGCCGCUGCUGGACGCGCUGCAGCCCCGCGUGGAGCAGCUGUUCCGCGAGAAACUGGGCGAAGGACUCGCGAGGCUGCGGACGGCGCGAGAGGCCCCCCAGGACUGCGUGUGCCCCCCAGGGCCCCCGGGGAGGCGAGGGAAGCCCGGGCGGCGCGGAGAGCCAGGUAAGCAUCACCUGCCCUGGCACCGAGGGAAUGGGGGUGCCAUGGGUGGUGUGGGAGCCUCUGGGGAGUGACACCUGCCACCUCCAUCCCACAGGACAGGGGCUUCCUCACCCCUGUGUGCUGGGCAUGAAGGGUUUUAUUAAAAACUAAAAAAACCAAACCAAAACCAACUCCCAAAACCCUAAAAACCAAAACCAAUUUUUUUAAAAAUUGAAGGAAGAAACCAGCCAAUCAA
RNAcentral lists this long non-coding RNA (541 nucleotides) under Lonchura striata (white-rumped munia). RNAcentral describes it as "domestica (Bengalese finch) lncRNA (ENSLSDG00000009698.1)". Lineage: Eukaryota; Metazoa; Chordata; Aves; Passeriformes; Estrildidae. The record is from RNAcentral.